AUGUGAUGCAUGCUCACGUGUCUCCGCAGCCGGCUCGGGAAAGAAUCCCCCAAGCUCCAUUUCAUGAGUAAGCGUGAGAGCCGCUCAGUUUCCUCCAGCUCUGCUGAAGCCAGCACAGAAGUAGCCCAAACUCUUCCCUCUGCUGACAGCAAAUUUUAGGCAAAGUCUUGAGAAAGAAGAAAUUGGGUCCAGAAAGGGAAGUGAGGAGAAUCAGAUCCCAGACCUUUGGGGAGAAGGAGCAACCGCCUCUGGCACAGCCCAUCAGGGAGAAAGAGCAGGUAAGGUGCAACAAUGAGCUGAGUAAUUUGCCAGUGAGCAGUGGGGGUGCCGAGAGGUCUUAACCAAGGCAGAGAAUCUGCAAGAGGUGGGACCCCCAGCUUCUGAGUUCCACGAGGACCCCAGCCUGCACUCUCAUGUGGGUGGCAGGAGAGGCUGGAGGAUGGUGCAGGACUCGGGCAGGGGUGCCCAAGGGAAACAUUUUGGUUGGAGAGUCAGGAAGCCGCACCAAGCCUUGUGACCUUGGACGAAUCACUCUGUAGACCUCUGUCUCUGUGACGUGAGCAGCGG
Molecule: long non-coding RNA, 567 nt
Filed under: Homo sapiens (human)
Lineage: Eukaryota; Metazoa; Chordata; Mammalia; Primates; Hominidae
Description: non-protein coding lnc-GOT2-2:1
Source: RNAcentral